RNAcentral lists this long non-coding RNA (2185 nucleotides) under Capsicum annuum. RNAcentral's name for it is "long non-coding RNA (CANN_LNC012876)". The record is from RNAcentral. Lineage: Eukaryota; Viridiplantae; Streptophyta; Magnoliopsida; Solanales; Solanaceae.
AAACGCAUCAGCCUUUCUCUCUUUACACCUUCUCUCUCUCUCUUUCUCUCUUAGAAACCAUGGCUGCCACUACAACCUCACCACCGGCGGGCGAAGCCCGGAGCACCCAUUGUCGACCUUCUUUCCUCCUUUCUCUCCCUCUCUUUCUCUUUAAAACCACCGGCAAAACCCCAUGCUCCCACAAGUUGCGUUACCGGCAAGACAGGAGAAGCCAAGCACCCAUCCCCACCGGUAAAUACACCACAUGCAGUUGACGGAAAUCCCCCUCUCCCCGCUCUCUUGUUCUCUAGUCUGCGCAGCCUUUUUUUUCCCCAUUUUGACUGACGCCACCACAACAACAAUAUCACCAACGACAGCAGUAGCCGGUGGAGCAGCCAUGGCGGUCGCCGCUACUCUGUUCUCCCUAUCCAUCGCUGUUUUUUUCAUUUAAACAAGCGUUGCAACCACCAACAGCCAUCAAAUAGUAGUUAUGCAGCCGAUCACCAACCAGCCCGCCUCACUCGUCCGAAAAUAAUCCCAGGUUUGAUUUUGUGUUGAUUUGUAUGUCUAAUUUUAAUUAUAUUCUAACUCCUUUUCUUUUUCUUUGGACAGAUUUUGUUGUCUGAAAUUGACGGAAGUUGAUUGAAAUUUUUGGUUUAAUUUCUGGUGAUUUGCGCUUGUUAACCUGCCUAGACUAUCAUAUGUAAAGGCCCUAAAUUUGCAUGAACUUGAUUUUUACCCUAGUUUUGAAUUAGGUAUUGGUUUUACUUGGUAUACUUGCUUAUUGAUUAUGUGUGAUUGAUUGGGAUUCUGUAUGUAUGCUUGCUUAUUCACCAAUUGACAAAGAGUUCGUCAUCGAUUGGGAUUCUAUGUGAGUGGAAUAACGAGCUGUCAUUCUGUACCUGCUAAUCGAUUUAAAUGCCUUGAUUGAAAUUGGAAUGACCCUAAUUAAUUUGAAUGUCAUGUUUAAGGGGAAAGAAUUUGCUAGUGGUUGAUAUUUUGUUUGCCUUUACUUAUUUUGAUAGAAUAUUAGUAGUUAGCGAAUAUGAGUGUAAUCUUAUAUUUAGGGGAAAACUUCAUUGAUUGAUUCCAUUGAUUAAUCAAUUGCUUUGAAUACUCUUCUCUCUUUGAUUGAAUACCAUUAAUGACGUUAUUUUAAUAAUUAUGUUAAUUUUGUAUCGAUAGGUUAUUCAAGUAUUUUUUAUUUACCUUGACUGAACAUUUCCUGAUUAUUAAUUGAUACAAUUUUUGAUGGAAAUUUUCCUUAACUGAUUGUAACUAAUAUUUUCUUUUCAUUUUCUGUGAUGACUUUACUUACUCAAUUGCGUGAUUUUUUUCCUUUUCCUGAAGACAACUUAAUUGAUUAAGGAAGAGAAAUAUUUUAAUUGAUUUUUAGAAUAUUUUUCUCUCUUAAAUUACGUGUCAUCCCUACUAUAUAAACCCAAUCCCUUCCUUCAUACAGGACAGACCUCUCUAGCUAGUGUUAUUAUUCCCUCUUCCUGAUUACUAGCUACUUUAAUACAAAGGAUAAAAUAUUUUCUCAAUUUACUUGGUGUUUUAAGAUUUUGACGAACCAUUUGGCUUACUUUACUGCUGCAAUUUCUUUGCUUAACAGCUUCUUUAUUACUUUUGUUGCUCACCGGUAAGCAUCUAAAUGAUGCAUUUAUUUUCUUAGUUUUAUGUGACGACUUUGUUGUGUUGUGGAACCAUUAGAGAACAUGCCAAUAGGACUUAUUCGAUUUGUGUUACUAUGACUGUGUUUUGGUCCAUGUGUGGUGUACUUUUUUGGCUUUGUUGUUUCGUUCAUUUCUAACAGUUACAACUAUAUAUUGUGGAAUUCGAAGAGUCGCUCGGGAAUGUGAUGGGGCUGGUUGCUUUAGUUUAGUUUAGUUUAGUUUAGUUUAUUUAGUAUGUAGGAAGUUAUUGUACAAAUAUUAUUCUGUGUAAUAAUAAAUUUGGAGACUGCUUGGGGACGGGAAUUUAUGUGCUCUAUGAAUCGCGUAGGCAAACACAACUUAGAUUUAUGUGCUUUUACGUGCUAUGUGAACCACUUAGGCAAACAUAAUUUACGUUAAUUAAUCAAUUUAUUUGGAAUCUAGAGGGCAUGUUUUAGGAUUAAUCACUAAUUAAAACCAACUCUAAGUAUGUAAUUAACUUGUACCCUGCAUUAAAUGUGUUCAAGACAGUUUUCGGCAUUUAGUUUAAC